This 1354-nucleotide unclassified non-coding RNA is filed under the name Pogonomyrmex barbatus (red harvester ant). RNAcentral's name for it is "protein extra-macrochaetae-like, transcript variant X1". The record is from RNAcentral. Lineage: Eukaryota; Metazoa; Arthropoda; Insecta; Hymenoptera; Formicidae.
GGCUAUAAAAAGACACAGGUGAGGGGCGGAGGCCAGUCGGCUUCGUUCCGUCAAGCGAUCGUGUGCGAUUCUGAUUAACGGUAUACUCAGCGUUCACUCUACGUCGUACGCGACAAUCGCAUCAACACGCACUCGGCACCCGGUAGCCGCCGAGGAUGAUGCGGCUGGUCAGUGAAUCGAAUAGCAGUGGGUGACCUCUCGCACGUGUGAUUCCACACUCGAUCAACGAACAAAACUAGGAGAGGCCUGUCAUAUCACCUCAGCGACGUAUCACUUGACGAGGAGAAAUCACGAGGAGAGAUCUAGCGUGAUCCACCCUCCGCUCUUCACGUGCAUUCGCGCCUCCUGCGUGUUCGACAGCUCCUGCGAUCGAUAAGCACACGCGCGGUGAGUGUGUAUAUGUGUGUGUGUGCGGGUGGCGCGCUGUCGUCGGACGAUCACUCAGUGUGCCCGCAGACGGCGCCGAGAGGAAGGAGCGAGCGCCGGAUCGAUCGGCUCGGUCGCCCGACCAAUUUCUGAUCGCCGCUGUCUCUGCAUGAAGGCGAUGGUGGUGAGCCCGGUGAGUGGCAGAGUGCCGCCCAAUCAUCGCGGCGUUCUCCACAACGGCCUGGGAAUCGGCGGCAGGCGCGACCUCGAGGCCGAGGAGAUAGCCGCUUAUCUGAUGAAGCUGCGCUCCCUCGUUCCGGACAUGCCGCGUAAACGGAAGCUGUCGAAACUCGAGGUGAUCCAGAGGGUGAUCGAAUACAUCUGCUAUCUACAGACCGCCCUGGAGGAGACGAACGCCACGCAUCAGGACAUGAAGACGAUGACAACGGCGACGACGACGACGACGACGACGACGACGGUGGAGGCGGCGACAGUGACAACACAGUCCUCGAGGCAACCUCUGCUGAACGCCGCCACAUCGAUCGCCGCGACAACCACGACAACAUCCGUCGUAACCACGACGGUUGCCGAGCGGUGACCUGCUGAUCAGAUCCGCUAAGGUAUAAGUCGCAUCGAAGCCACCCUCCUCACUGGACUAGGUAGAUCGCUCUUCAAAGUAUCCAUCAUCAAGCUGAUCUACCCUCUUGGCUUGGAUCACGGGAGAAGGUGUCGACCGCAUCGCGGAAGAGGAUAAUCAAGGAUCAUUCGAAGGCGCGUUCUGCAGCCGAAGAUGGGAUUUUGUAUGACGGUGAUGGAGAAGGACAUUUUGAUCAAAGAGCGAGUCCCGCGCGCCGGUUUCUCAAGCUCUACUCUUCCCCCACACACCCCGCAAUGGGAAAUUGAAAAAUCUGCGAGGAUUCGACGAUAUCGGGAAUGGAAGCCGGAUGGUACAAAGAAUGGAGGGACAGGAAGAUUAAAUAGGCGCACG